This 468-nucleotide ribosomal RNA is filed under the name uncultured bacterium. RNAcentral's name for it is "partial 16S ribosomal RNA". It matches the Rfam family "Bacterial small subunit ribosomal RNA", at positions 28 to 507 of the family's 1533-position model. The record is from RNAcentral.
GACGAACGCUGGCGGCGUGCUUAACACAUGCAAGUCGAACGGAAAGGCCUUGCUUUUGUGGGGUGCUCGAGUGGCGAACGGGUGAGUAACACGUGAGUAACCUGCCCUUGACUUUGGGAUAACUUCAGGAAACUGGGGCUAAUACCGGAUAGGAGCUCCUGCUGCAUGGUGGGGGUUGGAACGUUUCGGCGGUUGGGGAUGGACUCGCGGCUUAUCAGCUUGUUGGUGGGGUAGUGGCUUACCAAGGCUUUGACGGGUAGCCGGCCUGAGAGGGUGACCGGCCACAUUGGGACUGAGAUACGGCGCAGAGUCCUACGGGAGGCAACAGUGGGGAGUAUUGCACAGUGGGCGGAAGCCUGAGGCAGCAACGCCGCGUGCGGGAUGACGGCUUUCGGGUUGUAAACCGCUUUAGCCUGUGACGAAGCGUGAGUGACGGUAAUGGGUAAAGAAGCACCGGCUAACUACGUG